RNAcentral lists this ribosomal RNA (278 nucleotides) under uncultured bacterium. Its description in RNAcentral is "partial 16S ribosomal RNA". It matches the Rfam family "Bacterial small subunit ribosomal RNA", at positions 1105 to 1382 of the family's 1533-position model. The record is from RNAcentral.
UUGCCUCCUGUUGCUAACAGAUAAUGCUGAGCACUCUGGAGGAACUGCCGGCGAUAAGCGGAAGGAAGGUGGGGAUGACGUCAAGUCCUCAUGGCCUUUAUGCCCCGGGCUACACACGUGCUACAAUGGCUGGUACAAAGGGUUGCAAAACCGCGAGGUGGAGCUAAUCCCAGAAAGCCAGUCCCAGUUCGGAUUGCAGUCUGCAACUCGACUGCAUGAAGUUGGAAUCGCUAGUAAUCGCGGAUCAGCACGACGCGGUGAAUACGUUCCCGGGCCUU